UACAGAGGUCUCAAGCGUUGUUCGGAUUCAUUGGGCGUAAAGGGUGCGGUAGGCGGCGCGGUAAGUCGGGUGUGAAAUCUCGGAGCUUAACUCCGAAACUGCAUUCGAUACUGCCGUGCUUGAGGAGCUGGAGAGGAGACUGGAAUUUACGGUGUAGCGGUGAAAUGCGUAGAUAUCGUAAGGAAGACCAGUGGCGAAGGCGGGUCUCUGGACAGUUCCUGACGCUGAGGCACGAAGGUCAGGGGAGCAAACGGG
Molecule: ribosomal RNA, 255 nt
Filed under: uncultured bacterium
Lineage: Bacteria
Description: partial 16S ribosomal RNA
Rfam family: Bacterial small subunit ribosomal RNA
Source: RNAcentral